Pteronotus mesoamericanus is the source of this 110-nucleotide small nuclear RNA. The record is from RefSeq and is a predicted model, not a curated record. NCBI's taxonomy places the organism in Eukaryota, Metazoa, Chordata, Mammalia, Chiroptera, Mormoopidae.
GUGCUCGCUUCAGCAGCGCAUGUACCAAAAUUGGAAUGAUAGCACACGGAGGAUUAGCAAGGCCCCUGUGCAAGGAUGGCAUGAAAACUGGUAAAGCAUUCCACAAAAGA